GGCAACGUUUUUGGGCUUAUGAAAAUCAUUAAAAGAAUUCAAACACAAAGUAACGUUGUGCGAUCCUUCUUCAAUUGACUUUCGAACACCUGGUACCGCUUCUUUAAAAAUGUCCACAUUCGAUUGUGAGCACUGUUGGUUCAUGGGGAACCUUUUUAGCCACUAUCAAAAUGAUGAGAUAAUAAGAAUAAGCUUUUACCAAUUUCUGCCAAUAACACAGGAGGGUGUUAAGAUGUUCAAACGCCAAAUAAACACAUUGCAAUGUAUCGAGUCUACAUUAACCACGCAUGCUCUCUGGCAAACAGUACAAAGGCUAUGCAAAUAUCAAAGCAUUAAUAGCUCAGGUUGAGCAGUAAUAUCUACGACUUUGUACUGUUUGCCUUCUGGCGUUCUCUGGUUUAACACUGGUGAGACGAUGCCACAAAGAAGACCAAUCAGUUUCAAAGACAAUGAACAUAUUAUCAUCAGAUCAUGUUGGUUUGCACGUUGUUUUUCCCUACAAGUACGUGUGGCUAAUGCAGACUUGAUGCUUUGCAAAUGGGUGUCUAUUCUGGUGUUUUCUUAACAUCUUAUUGCCAGAAAGGGUUGAAGCCUAUUGUUAUUAUUCCAUCACUAUUGCAUCAUUUGGUCGACAUAAAGGUUCAUAAUUGCUUUAAAGGUUGGAUGUGUCUGUUUAGAAAUGCGUGUGGUAAUACCCAGCUACCCAGCUUGCCUCGAGGGGUAAAUAUUACAGUGCACGAGACGUGAGUGCUGCGCUAUCAGUGCCAACACUAUGCAUCCUGCACACACACACACGCAGACAAUAUCCGAUUAUGGUUUACACAACAUGGUAAAUAAUUCUACUUGCUGCUGUUCGGUUGGAGGUGGGUGGGUGGGGGAGCCGGAGGUGAGAGUUUUGUGCAAGAAAUAUCAUGAACGUUUUUACUGGACGAGUUAACAUCUCCUAGCCACCGUGGCACUUCUGCAUCCGGCACGCCACAUCAAGUAUACCCCCACCGUUGCUGCCACCGCUGCUGCCAUACCCACGUGAGCCUGGCACAGAGGCUACCUCGGCGAACAGCGGCGUGGUGUUAUCAUGCGGCGAUGGUUUUUAUACAGCCGUGUGGAGGGAGAGAGAGGGGAGCCCGCGAGCUGGCUUUUCGAGUUGGGCAACCUCUGUGCCGUGCGUGCGUGCUGCUGGCACGAGCGAAAUGCAACGCAGUGUCACGAGAAAGUGAGAUGGGAGUGAGGCAUGGGUGACAAGUGGUGAUGCAGGAUGCAAGAAGCAUCGCUUGGCUGCUGUGGACUUUCAAAGGUCAGCUGACAUAAUUCGCCAGACAAGACCCCAGCGUGUGCCGACAUCGUCUUCCAACUUCUGCGACAUUCUAAAAUGACAUCGCAAGUUACUCAAUUGGGAUUAUACACACACACAGCAGCAGCAGUGAUCACCACCGCCUACUGCCAGGCUAAUGACCCAGGUCACUCCUGCAAACGAGAUGUAUCAUGAGUCAUCUAUCAUCUGGUUAAACAAAAUUAACUUAUGCCUGUCCUGGUCAAGUCCUUUAUCAGACGUGGCAUCUCCUCGUUGGGAAUCGCUGUCGAGUACAGUACCGCAAGCUUUAAUCGUGACCUCAAUAGUGGCCACAUGAGACCUGGAGACACAUCCGAGCCUGUAGGGGAACGUGCAGAGGUCACGCCAAUUCCCCCAUGGGGUUCAGCUGCCUCUUGGAGAGGGCCGACGGUGGCAGGUGCGAGACAAGGCAAGUGGCUUCAUCUUGACUUGAAGCUUUCGUGACUGCAGGAAUGCAUAUUAUUUUGGGUCUUUCGGUAAAGUCACGUAGAUAAGGUAAAAAAAAAUACAAUCAUAAAAAUAAACAAAAAAAACAGUUUCCACCUGAUGACGAUCGCUUGCGUUGCGAUCGAAAUGUCGUAGGUUUUUUUGUUUAUUUCUUAAUUAUUUUUUUAACCUAUCUACUUGACUUUAUCGAAAGAGCCAAAGAAUAAUUAAGUGGCUCUUCCAAUGACCCACCCACAUCUUAUAGUUUCAUGCACCUACGAAUGCGUGGCAUGCAUGCAUUUUAUUUAUAAUUGUUAUUUAUUUAUACUUAUUAGUCGCAUUGCAGUUAUCAAAAGGCUAAUUUGCAAAACGGACCAGUUUUUUUAUUUGCUGUGGAUGUACUGUAUAUGCAAUGCUGCCCACUUGUGAUAAUGUUAAACGGAGAGUCUGGAAGUAAUUGAGUUUGGCGGCUGUGUGUGUAACAGACAUUGCAUAGUUUAAUUCUGUAGAUACACAAUAAGCCCACACAUAUAACGCUCGCUGGCACUGUGCUCUUGUUAAAACCAGUAUUUGCAGUUAUUUGAGAAUCCCACUGUACUCGAUUGUAUGUAAACAAUGAUCUCUCUCUUAAAAAUAACUCACCCUUCUAUUCUGUGACGAAUAUAAAAAAAACGGGUUAUGGAGGUGAUUACAGUAUGUGAAAAUAAAAAUUAUGGCCAUCGUAAACCUAAACAUGCGACCAUCUGCUGCAGUGACACGAUAUUUAUCUACCGAUCUAUUAUUAAAACCAAAUUACAUGAGUUGGAGAGCUUGGGCCGCCUGCAAUAAUAAGAAAGCAAACUCAUUGCAAAAGAAGUGGACUGCAAGCCCUUUUCUUUUAUGCACUAAAAUCUUUAGAGAAUAGAUUUCAGUUGGAUGGUUUAAUUGAAAACGUUAAAUAACGAACGCAACUCUCGUGAUUUUUUUGUAGGCGCACAUUUAUUGAAGCCUUGACCUCCAUACACUGUAUAUGCCAAGGGGAUGCAGUGUGCAUUGCGCUAUGCACCCGGAGACCUGCAUUCGAUUCCCCGACCACAGCUAAUACCAGUGGCGAGUGAUGUUCCACGGUGGCUAGGAGAUGUUAACUACCCCGCCUAGUAUGCAG
Non-coding RNA from Petromyzon marinus (sea lamprey), 2900 nucleotides. The record is from RefSeq and is a predicted model, not a curated record. NCBI's taxonomy places the organism in Eukaryota, Metazoa, Chordata, Hyperoartia, Petromyzontiformes, Petromyzontidae.